Molecule: transfer RNA, 510 nt
Filed under: Pseudomonas sp. GP65
Lineage: Bacteria; Pseudomonadati; Pseudomonadota; Gammaproteobacteria; Pseudomonadales; Pseudomonadaceae
Description: partial 16S-23S ribosomal RNA intergenic spacer
Rfam family: tRNA (bases 95-168)
Source: RNAcentral
GAUCACCUCCUUAAUCGACGACAUCAGCUGCUCCAUAAGUUCCCACACGAAUUGCUUGAUUCAUUGAAGAAGACGAAAGAAGCAGCCCGAAAUUGGGUCUGUAGCUCAGUUGGUUAGAGCGCACCCCUGAUAAGGGUGAGGUCGGCAGUUCGAAUCUGCCCAGACCCACCAAUUUUGUGUGGGAAACGCCUGUAGAAAUACGGGGCCAUAGCUCAGCUGGGAGAGCGCCUGCCUUGCACGCAGGAGGUCAGCGGUUCGAUCCCGCUUGGCUCCACCACUACUGCUUCUGAAGUAAGAGCUUAGAAAUGAGCAUUCCAUUGUUGUGAUGGUGAAUGUUGAUUUCUAGUCUUUGACUGGUUCGUUCUUUAAAAAUUUGGGUAUGUGAUAGAAAGAUAGACUGAUGGCCACUUUCACUGGUGGUGAUCAGGCUAAGGUAAAAUUUGUGAGUUCUCUUAGUUGAGAAAUUCGAAUUUUCGGCGAAUGUCGUCUUCACAGUAUAACCAGAUGCAA